RNA transcript from Ipomoea nil (Japanese morning glory), 3444 nucleotides. It is a transcript of the gene named proline-rich receptor-like protein kinase PERK9, with no coding region annotated. The transcript is spliced from 9 exons. NCBI's taxonomy places the organism in Eukaryota, Viridiplantae, Streptophyta, Magnoliopsida, Solanales, Convolvulaceae. The record is from RefSeq and is a predicted model, not a curated record.
UACUCAUUUGUCUGCACUAGAUUUUAGAGACCCCAUUUUCCGUGUAUUGGGUUUUGAGUGGCUGCUUGAGUUCAAAAGCAUCAUUCUCUCUUUUUGGGUGACUGUACGAUGCAGAUUGGAUGCGAUUUGGGUGAAGUUUAACCUCCAAGUUUGUUGUGGAGAGUUAAAGGUGAAGUCUUUCUGAGAAAUUUCACCAUUCGGAUUCGCUUGAGUGGGCUAUCGGAUUUGAUUUGCGCUACAGUGGCUGUUGGGCGUGCAUUGGUGAAUCAGUCGGCGCGAACAGGGUUUCGGUUUUUUUAAAAUUUUUCUGAGAUUUCUGCACGGAUUUAUUGAUUCUUGCAUUUUGCUCGCUGGCGUAGAGUUUAGCUUUUUUGGUCUGUUAAGUGUUUGAUGAUUGGUUUGCUUGAACUUUCCCGGACGCGUUUAUCGAUUUGUUGUGAACUUGUGAUGAAUGAAUGAUGGGGAGGGGAGAUUUGAUUUGUUUGGGUGUUGAAUUGUCUAAAAACUUGAGCUUGACUAGGGAUUGUUGAAUUAUUGCGUGAACUUUAAUGCAUCUGAGAAAUGGUUAGAUUUGGUUAAAGGAUUGACAGUGAAAUGUCUGGUAGUUCGUCUCCUAAUUCUGCCCCAUCGCCUGUUCCACCAAUAGCAUCUAGCCCACCGCCGCAGCCCUCACCUCCAAAAUCUCCGGCGCCGGAAUCCUCUUCUCAGCCCAAUGCCAACGGUGGCACUCCUCCUUCUUUACCCCCACAGUCCCCUUCUGUGGCUAAUGUGACAUCUCCUCCUCCAAUUUCAGUAUCACCACCACCAAUGGCUUCGCCGCCUCCACCUAUAACAUCUCCUCCCCCAACUAGUCCACCACCUUCAAUAUCCAGUCCUCCACCUGCACCAUCUGACCCACCACCACCACCACCACCGGCGGUGGUGAACUCACCACCGCCACCGGUGGUGAUGAACUCACCACCGCCUACAUCUCCUGAUCCUCCAGUUAGUUCGCCUCCACCUUCAUCUAGUUUACCAUCUCCACCUCCUCCAACAUCUAAUCCGCCGAGUAGUUCACCGCCUCCUCCAGCUACUAAUCCAUUACCUAGUUCACCUCCACCCCGAGUGGAACCCCCGAAAACUGGGGCUUCUCCACCGCCAAAGUCGCCUGUGACUCCAACUCCACCAUCUACUCAGCCUCCAAAAAAUUCUCCGCCCCCACCACCGUCAUCUAGGCCGUCGGAAAAUUCCCCUCCGCCACCAACUGCUGAGCCGCCUAAAAGUCCAACUCCAACUCCACCUUCACCAUCUAAGCCACCCAAGAAUUCACCUCCAUUUCCAGAAUCCAAGCCUCCAAGAAGUUCACCUUCUCCUCCAGAAUCAGAUCCUACAAAACCUUCACCCCCUCUGCCUGCAUCAGUACCCCCUAAUAACUCUCCCCAACCACCAAGUCUUGUCCCUUCACCACUUGCUCCAUCAGCACUUCAACCACCAGGAAUAAUACCCCCAUCUCCUCCUUCAACCUUAGUUCCUCCAAAUGAACCUGCUGACAACAGUUCUAGUAGCAAUGCCAGUGGUAGCCCCAAUUCCUCAGGUGGUGGGGGCAUUGGUACCGGAGGGACUGUAGUUGUUGGCUUAGUUCUUGGUCUUCUCUUGCUUGGUCUUGUUGGAGUAGCAGGAUGGUGCAUAUGGAAGCGUAAGAAAAAGGCGUCUGUAGUCAAUGGUGGUUAUAUCCUGCCAACCUCUUUUGCCUCUUCUCCAAAAUCUGAUUCUGCCUUGUUAAAAGUGCAAGCAUUAACACACGGUUUUGGAGGUGGUUCUGGCAGUGAGUUUGUCAAUUCACCAAGGGAACAAGGUGCAUUUGGCAAUUCGCGGGCAUGGUUUACCUAUGAAGAACUAGUGGAGGCUACUAAUGGUUUUGCCGAACAAAAUCUUUUGGGUGAAGGUGGAUUUGGUGCGGUGUACAAAGGAUGCCUAGCAGAUGGGUCAGAGAUAGCAGUAAAGCAACUAAAAAUUGGUGGAGGCCAGGGCGACCGUGAAUUCAGGGCAGAAGUCGAAAUCAUAAGUCGAAUUCACCAUCGUCACUUGGUCUCUCUUGUGGGUUACUGCAUCUUGGAGAACAAAAGAUUGCUCGUUUAUGAUUAUGUCCCUAAUGACACCCUUCAUUUCCACCUUCAUGGGAAUGGGAGACCAGUUAUGGAUUGGCCAACACGUGUAAAGAUUGCCAUUGGUGCAGCUCGCGGAAUAGCUUAUCUCCAUGAAGAUUGUCAUCCACGGAUUAUCCAUAGAGAUAUCAAGUCUGCAAACAUUCUUUUGGAUAAUAACUUUGAAGCUCGGGUUUCUGAUUUUGGACUAGCUAAAUUAGCUUUGGAUGCGAACACACAUGUUACUACCCGUGUAAUGGGAACCUUUGGAUACAUGGCUCCUGAAUAUGCAUCAAGUGGCAAGUUGACAGAAAAGUCCGAUGUUUUUUCAUUUGGGGUUGUGCUUCUGGAGCUAAUAACUGGACGCAAGCCUGUCGAUACAUCUCAGCCUUUAGGGGAAGAGAGCCUGGUUGAGUGGGCUCGACCUUUGCUGAGUCAGGCUCUUGAAACCGAGGAAUUUCAGCACCUAACAGAUCCAAGGCUAGAGAAAAAUUAUGUGGACAGUGAAAUGUUCAGAAUGAUUGAGGCUGCUGCAGCUUGUGUUCGCCAUUCUUCCACAAAAAGACCACGAAUGGGACAGGUUGUGAGAGCUUUUGAUAGUAUGGCCAUGUCGGACCUCACGAAUGGAAUGAGACUCGGUGAAAGUGAAAUAUUCAACUCCGCAGAACAAUCUGCAGAAAUAAGGUUGUUUCAGAGGAUGGCAUUUGGUAGUGGGAAUUACAGUACAGAUUUUUUCAGUCACAGUAGUUGGAAUAGUUGAUUCAUGGUAAAUACUGUUGAGGUAGUUACCGAAGUAUCGACCACUGGGCUUGCCCUGCAAGUUCAUCCGUUGAUAAGUGGAUAACUAUACUCAACUGCCAAGAAUGGAGGAUCGAAACGCCCUUGCUGCAGAUUGCAUUGUCAUAUCAUGCUGCUGCCAGUGCCUGAUUCUGCAGGUCAUCAUCUUCAUCUUGCUUAGGCUUCCAUCGAGAAUAAUUCGGAAGACAAAACGGUACGUGAAAAGGCGGCUGAGAAGCAGGAAGAGGGCGGAGAAGGUUGUGCAGAUCGAACUGUGUGGAUAUGGAGAUGAAAGCUCGAGAAGGCGUGGAGGGUCACCUGAUGAUGGGUUUCCAUUUAGUGACUCCAGUUUUGGAUGCUGUAUGGAUGAAGUUGAGAGGGUUUUGGAGGAGUUUUCACAGAAAGGGGAAUUUGCUUUUGGGAGCUUUUGGGGUGGUGAUGUUUCAAAGAGAGUGUUUUCUUAUUGUCAACCCAAACAAGAAGUGGUGGAUUAUGAUUGUUUUCAUCAUCAUUUGAUAGAAACCUUUGGUUCUUUCAACUUCAA